Molecule: long non-coding RNA, 235 nt
Organism: Papaver somniferum (opium poppy)
Lineage: Eukaryota; Viridiplantae; Streptophyta; Magnoliopsida; Ranunculales; Papaveraceae
Exons: 2
Source: RefSeq, a predicted model, not a curated record
UAUGGGCCUGAGUGGAAACAAAAACAUAAGCUACUACUCAUAUCAUUCCCAUUAAUUUUUGUAGAAAGGCCGGCAAAUGACAGACCGCAUUUAUCUUAGUUUGCACUAUGGGCCUGAAUGGAAACAAAAACAUAAGAUUGUUGUUCGUGCCUCUCAUUGGAUACACAUGCUGCUUAUAAACACUUUCAUAUUCGCAAACGUGGUGAAGAAAAUGUACACUUAAAAGCCUGAGAAA